Long non-coding RNA from Xenia sp. Carnegie-2017, 247 nucleotides. RefSeq lists it as uncharacterized. Lineage: Eukaryota; Metazoa; Cnidaria; Anthozoa; Malacalcyonacea; Xeniidae. The transcript is spliced from 3 exons. The record is from RefSeq and is a predicted model, not a curated record.
GCAGAGUACUGGGGGCUUUUCUAUUACAGGUAGCAUUCCAUGUAUUUUAGUUCAAUGGAAUCACAUUAAAUGGCUGAACGUGUGUAGUUGUAUAUGAAGUCAAAAACACAUGAAUUUUCUUUUAAAUAUGAUUGAUAUUUUGAUUUUGUAAAAGAUAAAACUUGUGCUGUGCUGGUGAGCGUUUUUUAUAUGUGAAAUUUAUUUAUCAUUUUGAAGAGCAUAGAUGCAACAAAUUGAUUCAAGCUAC